RNAcentral lists this ribosomal RNA (164 nucleotides) under Nymphanthus kinabaluicus. Its description in RNAcentral is "Phyllanthus kinabaluicus 5.8S ribosomal RNA". It matches the Rfam family "5.8S ribosomal RNA". From Rfam's summary of the family: 5.8S ribosomal RNA (5.8S rRNA) is a component of the large subunit of the eukaryotic ribosome. It is transcribed by RNA polymerase I as part of the 45S precursor that also contains 18S and 28S rRNA. The record is from RNAcentral. Lineage: Eukaryota; Viridiplantae; Streptophyta; Magnoliopsida; Malpighiales; Phyllanthaceae.
AAAACGACUCUCGGCAACGGAUAUCUCGGCUCUCGCAUCGAUGAAGAACGUAGCGAAAUGCGAUACUUGGUGUGAAUUGCAGAAUCCCGUGAACCAUCGAGUUUUUGAACGCAAGUUGCGCCCAAAGCCUUCGGGCCGAGGGCACGUCUGCCUGGGUGUCACGC